This 468-nucleotide ribosomal RNA is filed under the name uncultured bacterium. RNAcentral's name for it is "partial 16S ribosomal RNA". It matches the Rfam family "Bacterial small subunit ribosomal RNA", at positions 28 to 507 of the family's 1533-position model. The record is from RNAcentral.
GACGAACGCUGGCGGCGUGCUUAAUACAUGCAAGUCGAACGGAAAGGCCCUGCUCUUGUGGGGUGCUCGAUUGGCGAACGGGUGAGUAACACGUGAGUAACCUGUCCUUGACUUUGGGAUAACUUCAGGAAACUGGGGCUAAUACCGGAUAGGAGCUCCUGCUGCACGGUGGGGGUUGGAAAGUUUCGGCUGUUGGGGAUGGACUCGCAGCUUAUCGGCUAGUUAGUCGGGUAGGGGCUUACCAAGGUUUUGACGGGUAGCCGGCCUGAGAGGGUGACCGGCGACAUGAGGCCUAAGGGACGGCGCAGACUCGUACGGGAGGCAGCAGUGGGGAAUAUGGCACAAUAAGCGGAAGCCUGAUACAGCAACGUCGCGAGCGGGAUGACGGCCUUUGAGUUGUAAACCACUGUGGCCUGUAACGAGGCGUGAGUGACGGUAAUGAGUAAGAAAGCACCGGCUAACUACGUG